RNAcentral lists this unclassified non-coding RNA (87 nucleotides) under Pseudomonas grimontii. Lineage: Bacteria; Pseudomonadati; Pseudomonadota; Gammaproteobacteria; Pseudomonadales; Pseudomonadaceae. The record is from RNAcentral.
GUGGGAGGGGGCUUGCUCCCGAUGACGGCGUGUCAGUCAAGGAAGCUUUGAUUGACACACUGCCAUCGGGAGCAAGCCCCCUCCCAC